ACAUACUUACAAAUUUAUAUAAUAUUGUACUGUAAUCUUUACUCGUUAAUAGAUCAUGAACUACUGAGCAAUUUCUAAACAUAUUAACAGAAUGUGUUAUCAUUUCAACCUUAGUAUGGAAUAGUUUUUCUUCGUUACACACUAAACCUCAUAAGAUUUUUAAUUAUUUUCAACGAACCGCAUAUUCUGAGCUCAUAAUGUUUUGAUAUUAAACGUUACAGACGAAAAACUUUGCACGCGUCAUUAAGAAAUUAAAGAUAACACAUCUGGGUUAUCUUUUUGACGAGGAGUAUAUAUACUUAUUAUU
This is a long non-coding RNA of Bombus impatiens (common eastern bumble bee), 307 nucleotides long. RefSeq lists it as uncharacterized. The transcript has 3 exons. The record is from RefSeq and is a predicted model, not a curated record. NCBI's taxonomy places the organism in Eukaryota, Metazoa, Arthropoda, Insecta, Hymenoptera, Apidae.